RNAcentral lists this ribosomal RNA (548 nucleotides) under uncultured bacterium. Its description in RNAcentral is "bacterial SSU rRNA". It matches the Rfam family "Bacterial small subunit ribosomal RNA", at positions 356 to 896 of the family's 1533-position model. The record is from RNAcentral.
GGGGAAUUUUGGACAAUGGGCGCAAGCCUGAUCCAGCCAUGCCGCGUGUCUGAAGAAGGCCUUCGGGUUGUAAAGGACUUUUGUCAGGGAAGAAAAGGCUGUUGCUAAUAUCGACAGCUGAUGACGGUACCUGAAGAAUAAGCACCGGCUAACUACGUGCCAGCAGCCGCGGUAAUACGUAGGGUGCGAGCGUUAAUCGGAAUUACUGGGCGUAAAGCGAGCGCAGACGGUUACUUAAGCAGGAUGUGAAAUCCCCAGGCUUAACCUGGGAACUGCGUUCUGAACUGGGUGACUAGAGUGUGUCAGAGGGAGGUAGAAUUCCACGUGUAGCAGUGAAAUGCGUAGAGAUGUGGAGGAAUACCGAUGGCGAAGGCAGCCUCCUGGGAUAACACUGACGUUCAUGCUCGAAAGCGUGGGUAGCAAACAGGAUUAGAUACCCUGGUAGUCCACGCCCUAAACGAUGUCAAUUAGCUGUUGGGCAACUUGAUUGCUUAGUAGCGUAGCUAACGCGUGAAAUUGACCGCCUGGGGAGUACGGUCGCAAGAUUA